Molecule: small RNA, 77 nt
Filed under: Salmonella enterica subsp. enterica serovar Typhimurium
Lineage: Bacteria; Pseudomonadati; Pseudomonadota; Gammaproteobacteria; Enterobacterales; Enterobacteriaceae
Description: RtT RNA
Rfam family: RtT RNA
About the family: This family represents a bacterial cis-regulatory element known as RtT RNA.
Source: RNAcentral
ACCAAGGUUCGAUUCGAGCGCAGCGAGAAAGCGUUGCCGCAGGCAACGACCCGAAGGGCGAAGCGCGCAGCGCUGAG